UACGUAGGGUGCAAGCGUUAAUCGGAAUUACUGGGCGUAAAGCGUGCGCAGGCGGUUUUUUAAGUCAGAUGUGAAAUCCCCGGGCUUAACCUGGGAACUGCGUUUGAAACUACAAGGCUAGAGUGUGACAGAGGGGGGUGGAAUUCCACGUGUAGCAGUGAGAUGCGUAGAGAUGUGGAGGAACACCGAUGGCGAAGGCAGCCCCCUGGGUUAACACUGACGCUCAGGCACGAAGGCGUGGGGAGCAAACAGG
This 253-nucleotide ribosomal RNA is filed under the name uncultured bacterium. RNAcentral describes it as "partial 16S ribosomal RNA". It matches the Rfam family "Bacterial small subunit ribosomal RNA", at positions 524 to 776 of the family's 1533-position model. The record is from RNAcentral.